GUAACUAAGAAGGAAGCACUCAGGCCAAAGAGAGGGCAACCACAGGCUGCCUGUUGCGGCUGCCAUUCUGAGCACGGGAUAGCUUCAUGACCCUUUUCAUUGCUGGCUCUCUCCGAUGCAGACCAUCCCACAGUGGCCUGCCGCCUCAGAAACAGCCUCACAGACACCGUGUGCGUGUUUCCAUGGUGAUUCUAGGCCCCAUCAGGCUAGGCUGGCCGUGAGGUUCACCACAGCAAGGAGGUGCGACGGAUAUUCCAGAGUUGACUUAAGGCAUAUGAGGGGAGUUCAUAGUGUACACGCAACCACCAGGAGGCCUCUUUACCCCAAAGUCGUCGGAAUGUUCUGGGUCCUGGAAUCAGGACCUACGAUCGAUUCUGAGGGACAGCUAUCCAUGAAAAAGAAUUUUCCUCCCACCCCAUCUCAACAGCUACAUCCCUGUCCCAAGCACAGGUGAUGCUAUUAACCAUCAAGUG
This 473-nucleotide long non-coding RNA is filed under the name Mus pahari (shrew mouse). RNAcentral's name for it is "lncRNA (MGP_PahariEiJ_G0004168.1)". The record is from RNAcentral. Lineage: Eukaryota; Metazoa; Chordata; Mammalia; Rodentia; Muridae.